RNAcentral lists this ribosomal RNA (420 nucleotides) under uncultured bacterium. RNAcentral's name for it is "bacterial SSU rRNA". It matches the Rfam family "Bacterial small subunit ribosomal RNA", at positions 356 to 773 of the family's 1533-position model. The record is from RNAcentral.
AGGGAAUAUUGGGCAAUGGAAGCAAUUCUGACCCAGCCAUGCCGCGUGAAGGAAUACAGCGCUAUGGGUUUUAAACUUCUUUUAUUAUAGAGUAAACGGAGGUACGUGUACCUCCCUGCAAGUAUAUGAUGAAUAAGGAUCGGCUAACUCCGUGCCAGCAGCCGCGGUAAUACGGAGGAUCCGAGCGUUAUCCGGAUUUAUUGGGUUUAAAGGGUGCGUAGGUGGAUUGAUAAGUCAGUGGUGAAAGUUUGCAGCUUAACUGUAAAAUUGCCGUUGAAACUGUCGGUCUUGAGUGCAAAUGAGGUAGGCGGAAUGCGUCGUGUAGCGGUGAAGUGCUUAGAUAUGACGCAGAACUCCGAUUGCGAAGGCAGCUUACUGGGAUGCAACUGACACUGAGGCACGAAAGCGUGGGUAUCAAAC